RNAcentral lists this ribosomal RNA (406 nucleotides) under uncultured bacterium. RNAcentral's name for it is "partial 16S ribosomal RNA". It matches the Rfam family "Bacterial small subunit ribosomal RNA", at positions 30 to 526 of the family's 1533-position model. The record is from RNAcentral.
AUUGAACGCUGGCGGCAGGCCUAACACAUGCAAGUCGAGCGAGGGGCGGACGGGUGAGUAAUGUAUGGGGAUAUGCCCGAUAGAGGGGGAAAACUAGUGGAAAGGGUGGCUAAUACCGCAUACUAUAAUAUGAACCCAUAUGGGAUUAGCGAGUAGGUGGGGUAAAGGCUCAACUAGGCGAAGAUCUCUAGCUGGUCUGAGAGGAUGAUCAGCCACACUGGGACUGAGACACGGCCCAGACUCCUACGGGAGGCAGCAGUGGGGAAUAUUGCACAAGGGGCGCAAGCCUGAUGCAGCCAUGCCGCGUGUAUGAAGAAGGCCUUAGGGUUGUAAAGUACUUUCAGCGGGGAGGCGUUACCCACAGAAGAAGCACCGGCUAACUCCGUGCCAGCCGCCGCGGUAAUAC